AAUAAGUGUAGUUUUGCAAUAUUUGAUCGUCCGUUUUAUUUGAAAACUUUUUAUGAUUAGUAUUUUUAUUGUUAUUAGAUGAUAAAACAUGAAUAAUACUCUAAUUUUUUUAAUUUUUUAUAAUUUUUUUAAAUAAGACGGAUGGUUAAACAUUGAACACCGAUAUCCACGACUGCGUUUAUU
This 183-nucleotide microRNA precursor is filed under the name Oryza punctata. Its description in RNAcentral is "MIR812 microRNA precursor family". It matches the Rfam family "MIR812 microRNA precursor family". Lineage: Eukaryota; Viridiplantae; Streptophyta; Magnoliopsida; Poales; Poaceae. The record is from Rfam by way of RNAcentral.